Long non-coding RNA from Oncorhynchus tshawytscha (Chinook salmon), 556 nucleotides. Lineage: Eukaryota; Metazoa; Chordata; Actinopteri; Salmoniformes; Salmonidae. The record is from Ensembl.
GUCCCACAGUAUCACAGAGAGGUCAGACAGGUGGAGUAGUCCCACAGUAUCACAGAGAGGUCAGACAGGUGGAGUAGUCCCACAGUAUCACAGAGAUCAGACAGGUGGAGUAGUCCCACAGUAUCACAGAGAGGUCAGACAGGUGGAGUAGUCCUACAGUAUUACAGAGAGGUCAGACAGGUGGAGUAGUCCCACAGUAUCACAGAGAUCAGACAGGUAGAGUAGUCCUACAGUAUCACAGAGAGGUCAGACAGGUGGAGUAGUCCUACAGUAUUACAGAGAGGUCAGACAGGUGGAGUAGUCCCACAGUAUCACAGAGAUCAGACAGGUAGAGUAGUCCUACAGUAUCACAGUGAGGUCAGACAGGUAGAGUAGUCCUACAGUAUUACAGAGAGGUCAGACAGGUGGAGUAGUCCUACAGUAUCACAGAGAGGUCAGACAGGUGGAGUAGCCCCACAGUAUCACAGACUGGCCCUGAUAACUAGCUAACUAACCUACUAUCUACUAGUCUACUGCCCCUGAUAACUAGCUAACUAACCGACUAUCUACUAGUCUA